RNAcentral lists this unclassified non-coding RNA (332 nucleotides) under soil metagenome. RNAcentral describes it as "partial contains 5.8S ribosomal RNA, internal transcribed spacer 2, and large subunit ribosomal RNA". The stretch from base 1 to 120 matches the Rfam family "5.8S ribosomal RNA", at positions 35 to 154 of the family's 154-position model. The record is from RNAcentral.
GAUGAAGAACGCAGCGAAAUGCGAUAAGUAAUGUGAAUUGCAGAAUUCAGUGAAUCAUCGAAUCUUUGAACGCACAUUGCGCCCGCCAGUAUUCUGGCGGGCAUGCCUGUUCGAGCGUCAUUUCAACCCUCAAGCACAGCUUGGUGUUGGGACUCGCGUUAAUUCGCGUUCCCCAAAUUGAUUGGCGGUCACGUCGAGCUUCCAUAGCGUAGUAGUAAAACCCUCGUUACUGGUAAUCGUCGCGGCCACGCCGUUAAACCCCAACUUCUGAAUGUUGACCUCGGAUCAUGUAGGAAUACCCGCUGAACUUAAGCAUAUCAAUAAGCGGAGGA